RNAcentral lists this ribosomal RNA (253 nucleotides) under uncultured bacterium. Its description in RNAcentral is "partial 16S ribosomal RNA". It matches the Rfam family "Bacterial small subunit ribosomal RNA", at positions 524 to 776 of the family's 1533-position model. The record is from RNAcentral.
UACGUAGGGCGCAAGCGUUAUCCGGAAUUAUUGGGCGUAAAGAGCUCGUAGGCGGUUUGUCGCGUCUGCCGUGAAAGUCCGGGGCUCAACUCCGGAUCUGCGGUGGGUACGGGCAGACUAGAGUGAUGUAGGGGAGACUGGAAUUCUUGGUGUAGCGGUGAAAUGCGUAGAUAUCAAGAGGAACACCUGAGGCGAAGGCGGGUUGCUAGGCUGACACUGACGCUGAGGCGCGAAAGCCAGGGGAGCAAACGGG